RNAcentral lists this long non-coding RNA (233 nucleotides) under Monodelphis domestica (gray short-tailed opossum). RNAcentral's name for it is "lncRNA (ENSMODG00000035235.2)". The record is from RNAcentral. Lineage: Eukaryota; Metazoa; Chordata; Mammalia; Didelphimorphia; Didelphidae.
AUGGAAAGUCACAGUAGGACAGGCAGGGAAUUUAUGUCUAUAUGUUUGGAGAACGGGGAUGGAGAAGAGGUUGGGAGGAAGAGUCAUCCCAGGGGGCCCAUUAACACUUUUCCAGAGCUCUCUUCACCAUACCACAAACCACAAACUCAUCCCACCAGAAUCAGGACACAAGAAAGAGGAAUCACAGUAUCCAAUGACAUUGAUGAGGACAUCAGGCUGAAAGUACAGGAUGG